This 497-nucleotide ribosomal RNA is filed under the name uncultured bacterium. Its description in RNAcentral is "partial 16S ribosomal RNA". It matches the Rfam family "Bacterial small subunit ribosomal RNA", at positions 28 to 507 of the family's 1533-position model. The record is from RNAcentral.
GAUGAACGCUGGCGGCGUGCCUAAUACAUGCAAGUCGAGCGAAAAGACGAGGAGCUUGCUCCUCUGACUUUAGCGGCGGACGGGUGAGUAAAAUGUGGGUAACACACCUAUAAGACUGGGAUAAAUUCGGGAAACCGGAGCUAAUACCGGCUUAUCUAUUCAACAGCAUGGUUCAAUACUUAAAGACGGUUUUGCUGUCACUGUUAGCUGGAUCCGCGCCGCAUUAGCUAGUUGGUAAGGUAACGGAUUACCAAGGCAACGAUUCGUAGCCGACCUGAGAGGGUGAACGGCCACACUGGAACUGGGACACGGUCCAGACUCCUACGGGAGGCAACAGUAGGGAAUCUUCCGCAAUGGGCGGAAGCCUGACGGAGCAACGCCGCGUGGUAUAUGAAGGUCUUCGGAGCUUAAAACUCUGUUAUUAGGGAAGAACAAAUGUGUAAGUAACUAUGCACGUCUUGACGGUACCUAAUCAGAGAGCCACGGCUAACUACGUG